RNAcentral lists this long non-coding RNA (308 nucleotides) under Zostera marina. RNAcentral describes it as "long non-coding RNA (ZMAR_LNC002866)". Lineage: Eukaryota; Viridiplantae; Streptophyta; Magnoliopsida; Alismatales; Zosteraceae. The record is from RNAcentral.
UUCUUCUGAGCAGCCCAGUCCUCAGCCAAUUUCUUGUUGGUAGCAGAAAGAGUAGAGGCGUCUGAAGCUUUUUGCAUGACCUCGCCUUCCAGAUCUUUACAUCGGCGCUUCACCUUCUUCAACUCAUCUUCCAUAGACUGGUAGUCACGAAGACGAGACAGGGAAGAGAGGCGGCCUUGAAACAAAUAAGCGAGCUGCAAAAAGAAAGAACGAGUAAAAAUAUACUCAUAAAAAUAGUAAAACAAAAGUACUUACGUUGCUCAGGUUCUGUCCGAUUUCUUCGACAGUCCGGUCCAUCGGAUACCCAG